GUCUACAGCCAUACCACCCUGAACACACCCAAUCUCAUCUGAUCUCAGAAGCUAAUCAGGGUAGGGCCUGGUUAAUACUUGGAUGUGAGAACU
Molecule: ribosomal RNA, 93 nt
Filed under: Castor canadensis (American beaver)
Lineage: Eukaryota; Metazoa; Chordata; Mammalia; Rodentia; Castoridae
Source: RNAcentral